RNAcentral lists this ribosomal RNA (255 nucleotides) under uncultured bacterium. RNAcentral describes it as "partial 16S ribosomal RNA". It matches the Rfam family "Bacterial small subunit ribosomal RNA", at positions 524 to 776 of the family's 1533-position model. The record is from RNAcentral.
UACGAAGGGGGGCUAGCGUUGCUCGGAAUGACUGGGCGUAAAGGGCGCGUAGGCGGUUCAUACAGUCAGAUGUGAAAUUCCCGGGCUUAACCUGGGGGGCUGCAUUUGAUACGUGUGGGCUUGAGUGAGGAAGAGGGUUGUGGAAUUCCCAGUGUAGAGGUGAAAUUCGUAGAUAUUGGGAAGAACACCGGUGGCGAAGGCGGCAACCUGGUCCUUUACUGACGCUGAGGAGCGAAAGCGUGGGGAGCGAACAGG